RNAcentral lists this ribosomal RNA (242 nucleotides) under uncultured Actinomycetales bacterium. RNAcentral describes it as "partial 16S ribosomal RNA". It matches the Rfam family "Bacterial small subunit ribosomal RNA", at positions 88 to 334 of the family's 1533-position model. The record is from RNAcentral. Lineage: Bacteria; Bacillati; Actinomycetota; Actinomycetes; Actinomycetales.
UACUCGAGUGGCGAACGGGUGAGUAACACGUGGGUGAUCUGCCCUGCACUUCGGGAUAAGCUUGGGAAACUGGGUCUAAUACCGGAUAGGAGCCAUCUUUAGUGUGGUGGUUGGAAAGUUUUUUCGGUGUAGGAUGAGCUCGCGGCCUAUCAGCUUGUUGGUGGGGUAAUGGCCUACCAAGGCGGCGACGGGUAGCCGGCCUGAGAGGGUGACGGCCACAUUGGGACUGAGAUACGGCCCAG